GUCCCUGUGGGCUCGGAGCCCGAGCUGGCUGCAGGGUGCCACCACGGGCCUGGCAGCUGUGAUGGGCAGGAUGAGGGCAGUGCCAUGGAUGGGGCACGGUGCCAUCGCUGUAGGGCUGCAACCUGCAGGGCCAGUGCCUCGGUGCCAGCUCCAGGAGCCACCCAGCCGGGCUGGGGGCCUGAGCAGGGUCCUGCCAUGAGCCAUCCUGGCCACCAGCUGAGCUGCUGGGGGCUGCCCUGCUGCCCAUCCCCUCCCCGGGGGUGGCAAUCCUGGCGUGCAGAGCCAUUCCAGAGGGUUCCACACCUGGCUGGCACCAAAGGGGCUCCCCUGCCCUGCCGGGUGCAGGAUCCCAGGGAUGUCCUGUCCAAUCCAGGGCACCUCUCUGUCCCCCAUCCCAGUGCUGGGAUGCCUGGGGAGCCCUGUCCAACUCUGGGCUGCAGGAUCUGGGAUGUUGGGAUGUGGGAAAGGGAGCAGGGUCCCCUCUGUCCCCCGACACGGGGAUGCACAGGGGAGCUCUGUCCCUACUGUCCCCAGGUUCUGGGAUGUGGGCCAGGCUGUGCCCGGGUUCUGGGAUGUGGGUCCAGGUUCUGGGAUGUGGGUCCAGGCUGUGCCCAGGCUCUGGAAUUCAGGUCCAGGCUGUGCCCAGGUUCUCAGAUCUGGGUCCAGGCUGUGCCCACGUUCUGGGGUGCAGGUCUAGGCAGUGCCCAGUUCUGGGAUGUGGGUCCAGGCUGUGCCCAGGUUCUGGAAUUCAGGUCCAGGCUGUGCCCAGGUUUGGGAAUGCAGGUCCAGACUCUGGGAUGUGGGUCCAGUCUGUGCCCGGGUUCUGGGAUGCGGGUCCAGGCUGUCCUCUGGUUCUGGGAUGCGGGUCCAGGCUGUGCCCAGGUUCUGGGAUGCAGGUCCAGGUUCUGGGAUGCGGAUCCAGGCUGUGCCCAGGCUCUNNNNNNNNNNAGGUCCAGGUUCUGGGAUGCGGAUCCAGGCUGUGCCCAGGCUCUGGGGUGCAGGUCCAGGCUCUGGGAUGUGGAUCCAGGCUGUGCCCAGGCUCUGGGAUGUGGAUCCAGGCUGUGCCCUGGUUCUGGGAUGCAGGUCCAGGCUCUGGGGUGCAGGUUCAGGCUCUGGCACGGGGGAGCAGCGGAUCCCGGCUGCUCCCCGCGGGAUGCGG
RNAcentral lists this long non-coding RNA (1159 nucleotides) under Chloebia gouldiae (Gouldian finch). RNAcentral describes it as "Erythrura gouldiae (Gouldian finch) lncRNA (ENSEGOG00005016830.1)". Lineage: Eukaryota; Metazoa; Chordata; Aves; Passeriformes; Passeridae. The record is from RNAcentral.